Long non-coding RNA from Gavialis gangeticus (Gharial), 136 nucleotides. RefSeq lists it as uncharacterized. The record is from RefSeq and is a predicted model, not a curated record. The transcript has 3 exons. NCBI's taxonomy places the organism in Eukaryota, Metazoa, Chordata, Crocodylia, Gavialidae.
GCAGCCCUAACUCUGGAAAGAUCUUUUUUACCCCUUCAUUUUGCAUUUCAGAAACAAGGUGGAUAAUAUAUUCCAGGGCAUGUUGUAUGUCAGAAAAAUAUAGUAAUAGUUAAUCAUCAGUUUACCUUUUUCUUCA